This 327-nucleotide ribosomal RNA is filed under the name uncultured bacterium. RNAcentral describes it as "bacterial SSU rRNA". It matches the Rfam family "Bacterial small subunit ribosomal RNA", at positions 28 to 349 of the family's 1533-position model. The record is from RNAcentral.
GAUGAACGCUAGCGGUGCGCCUAACACAUGCAAGUCGAGCGCCCUCACUUUGUGCUUAAUUACUGAUGUAAUUGAGUCCAGAGUGAGGGAGCGGCGAACGGGUGAGUAACACGUUGGAACCUACCCCAGACUCAGGGAUAGCCCGCCGAAAGGUGGAUUAAUACCGGAUGGUCUCGUAAGAGUAAAGCUUUUGCGGUCUGGGAGGGGCCUGCGGCCUAUCAGCUAGUUGGUAAGGUAAUGGCUUACCAAGGCUAUGACGGGUAACUGGUGUGAGAGCAUGACCAGUCACAAUGGAACUGAGACACGGUCCAUACUCCUACGGGAGGC